GUUAGAACGCUCGUAGUCGGAUUUCGGGGCGGGUCGACCGGUCUGCCGAUGGGUACGCACUGGUCGACGCGUCCUUCCUUCCGGAGACCGUGCCUACUCUUAACUGAGCGGGGGCGGGAGACGGAACGUUUACUUUGAAAAAAUCAGAGUGUUUCAAGCAGGCAGCUCGCUCUUGCAUGGAUUAGCAUGGGAUAAUGAAAUAGGACUUUGGUGCUAUUUUGUUGGUUUCGAACACCGAAGUAAUGAUGAGAAGGGACAGUCAGGGGCACUCGUAUUCCGCCGAGAGAGGUGAAAUUCUCAGACCAGCGGAAGACGAACCACUGCGAAAGCAUUUGCCAGGGAUGUUUUCACUGAUCAAGAACGAAAGUUAGGGGAUCGAAGACGAUCAGAUACCGUCGUAGUCUUAACCAUAAACCAUGCCGACUAGGGAUUGGAGGAUGUUCACUGAUUGACUCCUUCAGCACCUUACGGGAAACUAAAGUCUUUGGGUUCCGGGGGGAGUAUGGUCGCAAGGCUGAAACUUAAAGGAAUUGACGGAAGGGCACCACCAGGUGUGGAGCCUGCGGCUUAAUUUGACUCAACACGGGGAAACUUACCAGGUCCAGACAUUGUGAGGAUUGACAGAUUGAGAGCUCUUUCUUGAUUCGAUGGGUGGUGGUGCAUGGCCGUUCUUAGUUGGUGGAGUGAUUUGUCUGGUUAAUUCCGUUAAC
Molecule: ribosomal RNA, 710 nt
Filed under: uncultured marine eukaryote
Lineage: Eukaryota
Description: SSU rRNA
Rfam family: Eukaryotic small subunit ribosomal RNA
Source: RNAcentral